Molecule: ribosomal RNA, 233 nt
Filed under: uncultured prokaryote
Description: partial 16S ribosomal RNA
Rfam family: Bacterial small subunit ribosomal RNA
Source: RNAcentral
UACAGAGGGUGCAAGCGUUAAUCGGAAUUACUGGGCGUAAAGCGUGCGUAGACGGUUACAUAAGUCGGGUGUGAAAGCCCCGGGCUCAACCUGGGAAUUGCAUUCGAGACUGCGUAGCUAGGGUGCGGAAGAGGGAAGCGGAAUUUCCGGUGUAGCGGUGAAAUGCGUAGAUAUCGGAAGGAACGCCGGUGGCGAAAGCGGCGCGCUGGACCCCUUCUGACGCUGAGGCGCGA